This 213-nucleotide non-coding RNA is filed under the name Levilactobacillus brevis. RNAcentral describes it as "Lactobacillus brevis T-box sequence". It matches the Rfam family "T-box leader". Rfam says of the family: Uncharged tRNA acts as the effector for transcription antitermination of genes in the T-box leader family. T-boxes are found upstream of many aminoacyl-tRNA synthetase genes and some amino acid biosynthetic genes usually in Gram-positive bacteria. Lineage: Bacteria; Bacillati; Bacillota; Bacilli; Lactobacillales; Lactobacillaceae. The record is from RNAcentral.
GUGAAAAUGAAGAGACGAAUUAGUAAUGACAAGUUGAUUUCAGAAACCGGAUGGUUGUUGAGAAUUCGGAUUAAUUUGUGACGAACUCAUCGUCGAAUGCUUGAUUGAAUUCAGUAAGUCAGGUCGGUUAAUCGCCGUUAUCGAUCAUUAAGUGCUUAAUGUCCGUAGUCGACGUUAAGAAUAUAGGUGGUACCGCGAUUAAUCGUCCUAUAG